GAUGAACGCUGGCGGCGUGCCUAAUACAUGCAAGUCGUACGGAAAGGCCCUUCGGGGUACUCGAGUGGCGGACGGCUGAGUAACGCGUGGGAACGUGCCCCAAAGUGAGGGAUAACGCACCGAAAGGUGUGCUAAUACCGCAUAUGGUCUUCGGAUUAAAGCUUCGGCGCUUUGGGAGCGGCCCGCGUACGAUUAGAUAGUUGGUGGGGUAAUGGCUCACCAAGUCGACGAUCGUUAGCUGGUCUGAGAGGAUGAUCAGCCAGACUGGGACUGAGACACGGACCAGACUCCUACGGGAGGCAGCAGUAAGGAAUCUUCCACAAUGGGGGCAACCCUGAUGGAGCAACGCCGCGUGCAGGAUGAAGGUUUUCGGAUCGUAAACUGCUUUUAUAAGUGAAGAAUAUGACGGUAACUUAUGAAUAAGGAUCGGCUAACUACGUGCCAGCAGCCGCGGUAA
RNAcentral lists this ribosomal RNA (457 nucleotides) under uncultured bacterium. Its description in RNAcentral is "partial 16S ribosomal RNA". It matches the Rfam family "Bacterial small subunit ribosomal RNA", at positions 28 to 523 of the family's 1533-position model. The record is from RNAcentral.